RNAcentral lists this long non-coding RNA (386 nucleotides) under Cricetulus griseus (Chinese hamster). Its description in RNAcentral is "lncRNA (ENSCGRG00000025213.1)". Lineage: Eukaryota; Metazoa; Chordata; Mammalia; Rodentia; Cricetidae. The record is from RNAcentral.
GAACUUUAUGACUCGGGUUCCAGACUGAGGUGCAACCAGUUCUUGUGAUAAUUUACUCUUUGUUUUUUCCUAAAGCUUUCUCUUUCCUUUUGAGAAAUGUUUAUUGAUUUUGGAAACAAGGAGAUGAAGGACAGUGACUUUCUAAAUAGGUACUAUUAUAAGUGCCUGUGCAUUAGUAGAAAAUAAGAGCGGGAUCAGCAAACAAGAUGGAAGAGGAGAUUUCAGUGGUAAUGGUGCAGAGAAGAGCAGACUAAGGUGAUUCUAAUCAAAAGGAGGACCUCGUUGGGAAGUGCCACCCUGAGGACAUCAUUAAAUACUUGAUUAGAAGCAUAACUGAGGACCCACAUUCCAAGACACAACUCUGAUUCCAGAAAAACCCAUCAUGU